GGGGAUGAUCGGUUUCGACAUUGCCUGCAAAACUGCGAGAAGCGGGUCGAGGAUGCAGGGUUAUCUCGUUAACGCCACCUGCAAACAAUAAGUGCCAAUAAAUCACGCACUGACUUCGCCCUCGCUGCCUAAGCGAGCGCACUAGAAGUCUGUCGGUCCGGGAAUGCUCUCUACCCGGGUUCCGGCAUCAUUCAGAGAGAUUGCUGCGACGUUAUGCCUGAGGGCGCCGCGGGACUCUAACUCAGACUGGGCUCGUUGACCCUGAUGCUUGUGGCAAAGGUCAGAGCCGAGUAGAACGCAUCACAAGCUACGCCCGUAGAAGGCGCAGGAUUACAGCAGUGGACGGGGGUUCAAUUCCCCCCAUCUCCACCA
RNAcentral lists this transfer-messenger RNA (372 nucleotides) under Galbitalea soli. RNAcentral describes it as "Standard tmRNA". It matches the Rfam family "transfer-messenger RNA". Rfam says of the family: Bacterial tmRNA, also known as 10Sa RNA or SsrA, is named for its dual tRNA and mRNA-like properties. The record is from Rfam by way of RNAcentral. Lineage: Bacteria; Bacillati; Actinomycetota; Actinomycetes; Micrococcales; Microbacteriaceae.